Molecule: ribosomal RNA, 488 nt
Filed under: uncultured bacterium
Lineage: Bacteria
Description: partial 16S ribosomal RNA
Rfam family: Bacterial small subunit ribosomal RNA
Source: RNAcentral
GAUGAACGCUAGCGGCAGGCCUAAUACAUGCAAGUCGGACGGGAUCCAUCGGUAUCUUGCUAUCCAUGGUGAGAGUGGCGCACGGGUGCGUAACGCGUUAGCAACCUGCCUCCAUCAGGGGGAUAGCCUCCCGAAAGAGUGAUCAACACCGCAUAACAUAUCAGACCGGCAUCGGUCGGAUAUCAAAUAUUUAUAGGAUGGUGAUGGGCUUGCGUGCCAUUAGCUCGUUGGUGGGGUAACGGCCCACCCAGGCGACGAUGUCCAGGGGAACUGGGCGGACAAUCCCCCAUACUGGUACUGGGACACCGACCAUACUACUACGGGACGCAGCAGUAAGGAAUAGUAGGCAGUGGGCGGAAGCAUGAGACAGCCAGGCCGAGUGCAAGACAGCUGCCCUAUGGGUUGUAAGCUGCUUUUAGCGGGGAAAAGCCCUUCUUACGUGUAGGAAGCUGAAUGUACCGGAAGAAUAAGGAUCGGCUAACUCCGUG